GGAAGGUGCAAUCACUAACAAUAGACUACUGUUUAGUGAGCAUCAACUGUGUGCCAGAGCACGUGCCAUGUCAGAUAUGUUACAUAAGUCAUCCUCACAGCAAUUCUGGGGGAGCCCCAUUAGCCCCAACACAAAUUUUAAAAUAAACUUAAAAAAGGAAUACAUGCACAAGUUAAAAUACUUCAAAAAAUAUGGAAGAGCAUAAAAUGAAAGUAAAAGUCUCCCACUCCACUCCCUCUCCCAGGAUGACAUUUAUACUUUUCAUUUCGGUGGCUGUCUGUGUAUCUCAUAGAUGUUAUCAUCAUUUUAUGAGCAAGUAGAGGAAGGUUCACAAUUAAGCUAAGAAGCCAUGGCUACCUGUCUCCAGGCUCAGCACUGUCAAUUACUCUACAUUAGUUAAGGUGAAUUCGGAGAAAAGAAAUGAGUUGCACCAUAGAUAAAAAAGGCAGGUCAGCUCAGAAUUGACAUUACCUCUCCUUUUCUUUCCUGCCCAAUUGAGGAUCCCACUAAUACUACAUUUUUACCAGAAACUGAAAGCAUAGACUCCUUUUGUGCAUAGAACCAUUUGUGAGGAUGUGUUGCUUCCAGGUCUUGGUGUCAUUGGACAUGUAGCCCUCCACCAUGCCCUGUUACCAGGAUCCCAGUAUUGCCUCUACCCUGUACUAGGUCUGGGACUGGGACAUGCCUCUUAAGCUUUGGAUUUCCCUGCCUCUUCUCAGCAUUGUUGGGGGAUUGCAAUGAAAGACAGGGAGAGGACUGUGUAAAUGUGAAGUCUCUAUGUAAAUAUAGCAGCUGCUUUCCAAAGGCCUCUACAGGACCCUGUGGCCCUUCAGUUCAGACAGUGGAGUUUAAGGUUCUUUGCAAAAUGGUGUGGCUUUGACAUUUGAGGGUUUGCAUAAUGUGUGCAUUUGUGUCAAUAGGGGAAGGGUUAGGAGUGUGUCUAAAUGGAAGAGGGUGCUUAUUUAUCUGCAAAAGAAGAGAGCAGUGCGUGUUUAGAAUCAGGAGAGGUAGGCAAGUGUGGAGUGGACUUCUUUCUGCUGGAGGGCAUAUAGAGCCAAGCUGGUAAGGACACAAAGAAGCAGUUAUCCUAUGUGGGAUGCACAGUGGGGGAAUAAGAGUAGCAAGGUGAGGCUGAAAGGAUGCUUACACCUACCUGUCCCUUUGCUAGGUAGCCACAAGCAAUGGCUGUUCUCAGACUUUUCAGGGCCAGGCAGAGGGAACUGAGGGGGUGACUACAAGAUGGUAUCAGCUUCCCCAAAUGAGUAAUUUAAUUUAUUAUUCCUUUGGGUGACUGAAAAGGGAAGAGAUAUUAGAGAACAGGUGGGAUAUUUCUUCUGGAAAGCUCACCUUGUCUGUGAUGGUUCUUUAUUCUUGAAGAAUUUCUGGAGACAUCCUAAAUUUAUGGGGAUUUCAUGUGAGAAUGAAUGAUAGGCCAUGAGCCUCUUAGGCUUUGCAGGGGAGGAGUAGCUGGGGAGGGGACAAUCUUGCAAGCUGCACACAUCUGAGAUUGUGGGAAAAGAGAUUCUGACCACCACUGGGGAAGAAGGAGAAAAUGGCUUUAAGAUGAUGCAGCGGGGCUGAGUUCUAGGCUGGUUCCAAAGAGAAACUGUGAAAGUAGAGAAAGGUGGCUUUUCUGUAAGGCCCAGCCAGGCUUCAGAGCACUAUUUCAAUGCCUGUCAGGACAAAGGAUGCUGCGCCCCCUGGUGUCAGACUUGAGGCCUGUGCCAGCUAGCUACAUGGAAACCCAGGGACCAGCUGGAGGAAUGGAAGGUCAGAUGCCUUUUCUUCUAUUUGCUAAGGGAGUUGAAAUUGAAAUAGUCCUUGCUUUCUCAACUCUGGAGUCUAAAUAGAGACUCUGGUGUGGAUAGAGGAGGGUUUUAUGCUUUUUUUUCAUGCAAUUUAGGCCAACAGGACAAUGUCUAUUUAGAAAUAAACCUUUGGAGUGGGAAGUACACUAUUCUGAAAGAAAAGACCUGCAUUUUGGGCAAAGUGCUGGUCUGGGGAACAUCAUUUAAAAUUUUUAGGACAUUUCUUUCUUUGUCCAAAAUCCAAAGAAUUUAGAGUAAAAUGUUGUUAAGUUCUUUUCUAAGUUCUAAUAUUGGUCUUUAUUCCUCAAUCAUUAUGCUGCACCCUUCUUUUCUCAGAGCCUCGCAAAUGUGGCUUUUUAAAAAUAUAUAUGCAGGUGCAAAUGUUAUAUAUUUUAGCAUCUUGAGUUCCUGAUUCUGAGCAAAGGUUUUCAAAAGUGCAAAAUAUACCUCUUUUCAACCCCCCAACCCCCCACUCUCCCAACCUUUUGUGGAGCCUCCUGUAAGAAAGCUGCAGAGUGAACAGGACUCCAGUCUCUGCUGUUUCUUUUAAAAAUAAAGUACUGAAGUGUUGUGCUGGAAAUUCUGCUACUAAGUGUCGCAUGUGGUAGGUGUGAAUAUAUGCUUCAAUAGUUCCAGGCACAAGACCAAAAUCUUCCCCAGAAUUAGCAGAGUUUUCAGCUAUAAUCUGGCUAUCAUUUUUCUACAAAUAGGUACAAAGACCAAUUUGGGACUAUGUUCUCUGUAAGGGGUACCUCAUCAAGUUUCCACUGAAAUUUAGGACCAGCCCUAGUACAGUCAGGUGAUUUGAGGAAGGAUCAGUUGUGGAGAAGAAUUAUGUUGAAGUUGAGAGUUUUCUUCUCCUGAAACAUUUAAGUCACAUGUCUGAGGUGAGGAAUCUGUUACAUCUCAAAGCAAAUUUUUUCUUCUGCAUUACACUUGAACUGUUAUCUCUGUGUAAUGGGUACAGUUGUUGUUGUUAAGGAAACUGAUUAUUGAUUUUGCAGAAGUGGAUGGAAUGUGCAACUUUUGUCCUAUAAUUGUGUCACCAUUCCACAUGCUGCAGGCAUGGGCUUCUUUUUUUGUACCAGGGAUUGAACCCAGGGGCACUUAACCACUGAACCACAUCCCUAGCCCUUUUUAUAAUUUCAUUUUGAGACAGGGCCUCACUAAAUUGCUUAGGGCCUUGCUAAGUUGCUGAGGAUGGCUUCGAACUUGGGAUCCUCCUGCUUUAGCCUCCCAAGCUGCUGGAAUUACAGGCAUGUGUCACCGCACCCAGCUGGUGGAGUCCUUAUAAGAAGACAUUAGGACAUAGACAUUAAUAGAGGGAAGACCAUGUGAAGAUAUAGGGAGAAGGCAACAUCUAUAAGCCAAGAAACCAACUCUGCCAACACCAUGAUCUCAGACUUGAGCCUUCAGAACUGUGAGAAAGUAAAUUCUCUUUCUUUAAACCACCAGGCUGUGGUAUUUUGUUUUGGCAGCCCCAGAAAACCAAUAUAUGCUACUACUAGGCAACAAUCAAUUAUAAGCUGCCAUUUGAGGAUGCAGACUCAAAGGCACCAGAUUUUCCAGAGUAAAAUCUUUUGUUUUCGAGUAUUUGCAGCAGGGUUAGCUUCAUGUGACCUGUGCAGUCAUAUAAGGUCCUGUAUAUAGAAGUGGCCCACUGUCAUUUUAAAGCUCUCUUGUCAUCAUCUUAAAAUUUUUAAAUUUUCAUUAAGGCACCCACUCACCUGGCCCUCAAACUAUAUAAGUAGUUACAAACUAUGUAACUAGUCCUAGUUGACAAAAAUUAUAAAUUUAAAAUAUUCUGCAUGUUAAGAUUAUGGUGGAGUCAGGCAUGGUGGCACAUGCCUAUAAUACCAGCUAAUAGGGAUGCUGAGGCAGGAGAAUCCCAAGUUUGAAUGAGAUCAGCCCAAACAACUUAGUGAGAGCCUGUCUCAAAAUAAAGUUUAAAAAUGGCUGUUUUUUUAUGGCUAGUUCAGCAGUAGAGUCUUUGUUUAGCAUAUGCAAAGCCCCAAAUUUAGUUUCUAGUACUGGAAAAUAAAAAAGAAGUUAAUAAAUUAUUACGGGGACCCCCCAAAAACAUGACUGGAACUAGAGGCAGCCUGGGACACUGCACUGAACUUUCUGUUGCUAACUGGAAUAAGAUCUCCCAUUCCACAAUAAUCACAAGGAGGGAAUUUAUGAAGCCCAGAGGUUUUUCUGGAGUGGAAGAAAGUCACAGAUAUUCCCCAGAUGUGAUUUCCUGAGAUUCUACAUACGCUAAUGUGGUCCUGGCCAAGAUUUUUUUCUCAGGGUUGAGCUCUGAGAACUUCACAAUAUGAAGAUCUCGAGGAAAGGCCAAACAUAAGGACCAAAGUAUUUGGGGUCGAAAGCUAUAUCCUGCCUGAAAAUGACUACUGCUGGAAGCUUUUGCAGGUUCAUCCACCCAACCCUGAGUUGGGUUUUGGGAAACUAGAGCUGAGGAUGCCAUCCCGUAUGACUAGCAACACCCUGAGGGACCAUAUGGCCUUCUCUAAAAGCAAGACAGAACGGCAAGAAACAACAGUGAGAAUGGAUGAAUUUGCCUCCCGGUUCCUGCCUGGAGUUUGUAAGCAGGACUUUUCUCCCUUGUGCUGAACCAGUCCUGGGAUUCUUAAGGCAUUCUCAGUUGGGGUGAGUUUGGUGGGCUGAGCUGCAGAGUACAAACUGUCAUGUCUGUUCAAGGGUCUAGGCCAUCCUGAGCACUUAAUUAUAAAUACAUGAUACCCUUCCAUUUCAUGGUGCACAACAUCCCAGUCAAUUCCAAUUCAGACAAGAGAGAUUUUUUCCCCUGGUGAAAGAAACGCCAGUCAUCAGUAAAUAGUCACUGGGAUAUAUGAUGGGGAAGUCCUAUUUUUAAGAAUAUGCAUUGAUUUAUAGAAUCUCACUGAAAAUAUUAUAGCGGAAUGUUUGGUCAGGAGGUCUGCUUUUCUAGUUCUAUUUCUGCCCAGCACUGACUAACUGGAGAGUGUAAAUUUUAAAAGAAGUAAUUUCUUAUGCACGCUAUGCAAACUCCCUUAGGGGAAUGAGUGAAAGACUGUUUGAGACACUGUGCAUUUCUUGGAAGAAAGUUGCUAUAUAAAUUAAUAUAGAGCCCUCUUUUUCAUUGCAGGCCUGCAAGACACACCAAAAGACUCCCGCAAGUCGUGUAAGGGAGAAAACGAAACACUCCACUGGCCUCUAUCAGGGGAAGUUAAUUUUUCCCCUUUUCUGCACAUUUUCAAAACUCUAUAACUCUAAUUUGCAGUACAGAAAAUAAGCUUUUAUAUUUAUUAUUUUUUAUGCUUUGGAUAUAGAGUAUUCCCAAAGGAACAAUGUGUUGUGCUAAGAGUUGUGAGCCUAUUGUGGGAAAGGCUGAGAUUAAGUUACUGCAAGAAGAAGUUCAUUUACACCUGCUUGGUGAUCUAGGAGCCCCAGGUCAGAGCAGCACCUACUUUCUUCCUCCCCACCAGGAAAGAGCAGAGUUGGGGGUGGUGAUCCCAAAAUUAAGACGUUUGGAAUUCUAUAUGUAGCUUUUCUAAGUCCUAAAUGACAAUUCCCUUAAUCAUUUGGAAUAUAAGAAACUUGGCUAAAGGUUUUAGCUUAAAGCCAUUAAUUUAAAAGAAAUGAAAACAUAGGUCUACAUAGAAACUUGUACAUGGAUGUUCACAGCAGAAUUUUCACAAUAGCCAAGAAAGGAAAAGAAUUCAAAUGUCUGUUAACUAAUGAAUGCAAAAGCAUAAUGUGGUACAUCCAUAAAAUGGAAUAUGUAACUAUUCAGCAAUAAAAAGAAAUGAAAUAUUGAUACAUUCAACAACAUGGAGGAACUGUAAAACAUCGUGCUAAUAAGCAAAUUACAAAUGAACACAUGUUGUAUGAUUCUGUAAUUGCAUGAUUCCAUAAUGGAAUUGUACAACAUGUAUUUGUGAUUAGUAUACAUAUCUAUAGAAACAGAAAGCAGACUAGUGGUUGGCUAGGUCUUGGGAAGAAAUAGGGGACAUUGGAGAGUGACAGCAAAGUGGUGCAGAGUUUCUUUGUGGGAUGAUAGAAAUGUUCUAAAAUUAAUUGAGGUGGCAGUUGUAUCACUUGGUGAAUGCAUUCAAAACCACUGAGUCUUGCUGUAAGAGUGAGUCCUAUGAUGUGUGAAUUAUAUCUCAAUAAAGACAUGAAAAGAUUUUUUAAAAAAUGAUACUUAAAAAAAAUAUCCACUGGUUUAUCUCUCUUUCUGAAGCUGAUCACUUUAGAAAAUGUGUUCAAAAUAAAAACAGAUUUUUAUGGGAUAACUGAAAUCAGAAUGUGAAAAAGUGAUUUUUUUCUUAGGUGGGAAGAUUAAUUUGCAUGUCCAUGUGUACUCAAAAUACCUGUACCUGUAAUUCUUUUGAACUUUGCUGAAAAUUUUUUCCUUAGCCUGCAAUCAUUAAAAUAUGUUUAAGCAAUCA
RNAcentral lists this long non-coding RNA (6244 nucleotides) under Marmota monax (woodchuck). The record is from RNAcentral. Lineage: Eukaryota; Metazoa; Chordata; Mammalia; Rodentia; Sciuridae.